UACGGAGGGUGCAAGCGUUAAUCGGAAUUACUGAGCGUAAAGCGCGCGUAGGUGGCUUGAUAAGCCGGUUCUUAAAGCCCUGGGCUCAACCUGGGAACGGCAUACGGAACUGUCAGGCUAGAGUGCAGGAGAGGAAGGUAGAAUUCCCGGUGUAGCGGUGAAAUGCGUAGAGAUCGGGAGGAAUACCAGUGGCGAAGGCGGCCUUCUGGACUGACACUGACACUGAGGUGCGAAAGCGUGGGUAGCAAACAGG
This 253-nucleotide unclassified non-coding RNA is filed under the name uncultured Halomonadaceae bacterium. RNAcentral's name for it is "contains 16S-23S intergenic spacer region". It matches the Rfam family "Bacterial small subunit ribosomal RNA", at positions 524 to 776 of the family's 1533-position model. The record is from RNAcentral. Lineage: Bacteria; Pseudomonadati; Pseudomonadota; Gammaproteobacteria; Oceanospirillales; Halomonadaceae.